GGCGCUGUAGUGUAGCUGGUUAUCACAGCGGAUUCUGAGCAAGGUUCACGUGACCACGCAGGAUCGAUUUCCGUUAACCCAGGUUCGAAUCCUGGCAGUGCCU
This is a non-coding RNA of Amylostereum chailletii, 103 nucleotides long. The record is from the annotation of a GenBank genome assembly. NCBI's taxonomy places the organism in Eukaryota, Fungi, Basidiomycota, Agaricomycetes, Russulales, Stereaceae.